AGAAUUUCAUAACAUGGGACCACCAGCACUUUGGCAAGGAAUGCCUCCUUACCCAGGUAUAGAACAGUCUCCCCAUCACCCAUACUACCAGCACCAUGCUCCUCCUCCACAGGCUCAUCCUUCUUACUCAGGAUGCCAUCCCAUACCACAUGAUGCACAGCACAGGGAUAAACGAGUGCAUGACUAUGACAUGAGGGUAGAUGACUUUCUACGACGGACACAAGCAGUUGUCAGCAGCCGGAGAAGCAGGCCUCGAGAGAGAGAGAAUGGGAGCGGGAACGAGGUCGGCCCCAAGAUACCAGAAGAGACA
This is a non-coding RNA of Notechis scutatus (mainland tiger snake), 310 nucleotides long. NCBI's taxonomy places the organism in Eukaryota, Metazoa, Chordata, Lepidosauria, Squamata, Elapidae. The record is from RefSeq and is a predicted model, not a curated record.